Molecule: long non-coding RNA, 862 nt
Organism: Vollenhovia emeryi
Lineage: Eukaryota; Metazoa; Arthropoda; Insecta; Hymenoptera; Formicidae
Exons: 3
Source: RefSeq, a predicted model, not a curated record
UUCAGUGGCGUCGGCGUGAACGGGUCGGCAUUGUGACGUGCAUGCGGCCGAAACGGUGUCUUUCGAAAAGAAAAAAGACAAGAAACAGUGCGCGUUUACUUUUCGACCUUCCUACUUGUCGCUCGUUCAGCCUGAUCUCACCACCAUCAUCGGCAUCGUUGUCUUUUUUUUUCUAAUGACAACCUGUCGCUCGAAGAGGAACACGCCUGACUAAAUAAAACCGGAGGGAAAUUAUUCGAAAUACGACAUCGCAAUUUCUAACUCAGGCAAAGUGCAGAAAGGGACCAUUUUUACGAUUCCUUAGUUUGAGGAGAAGCAAACAGUAGUAGCACGUGAGAAUGUGCAGGCGGAAUUCGGAAGGAUAUUGGGGAUAAUAAAAUUCUAAACGGUAUGCCCUAUUUCUUUUUGCGGUUAUUUACUAUAUAACGCAGUUCUCAAAGCGCGAGUGCCAUUAGAUCGCACUUUAUGCAAAAACUCCUCAAAGUACAGAACCAUUUGAUAUUUGCACGCAUUACUGUAUAUGUAAUACAAUGCAUAUAUUUCAUGUACAAUUACGUUAUUGUAUGGCAUAUAACGCACCCCGGGUGUUGUAUGUCACUAAUGAAUUUAAUAACAUCUUGCAACGCGCAUUAUUAUGUUUCUUUAUCAGCUUUCAUCAAUCGUAUUUUAAGUCACAUUAUUUUGUAUUUUUACAGAGACUUUUUUAAGAGUGGAUGUAUCUCGGCGUGUAACCUGCCCUUCGGAGAAAAAUUUAUACCAACCCUCCGAAAUGUAAGAACCAAAUCCGUAGACUGAAAUUUAUGUUUGCGUCAUUAUGCUAUAUGUAUUAUGUUACAUGUUAUUAUGCUGAAUGUAUUAUGUU